Felis catus (domestic cat) is the source of this 328-nucleotide long non-coding RNA. RefSeq lists it as uncharacterized. The record is from RefSeq and is a predicted model, not a curated record. NCBI's taxonomy places the organism in Eukaryota, Metazoa, Chordata, Mammalia, Carnivora, Felidae. The transcript is spliced from 3 exons.
UAUCUCCAGUUCACCUAUAAAGUGGCACCUUGAACUGAAAACAAAACCAGUCAGACAGAGUAUAAAAGGCUAUUGAGGUCCUUAGAACACUGUCAUUAAGGGCUGAGAGGUGAAGAUACAUUAGAUAAGAAAAUAGCAGACAGAGACCCUGAAGCACUUUAAGAAACCUCAGUCUGCAGGAAAUCCUCAUCUUGGCUCCAAUCAUCAGAAAACCUGUUCUUUACCACAGCUGCUGGCCUUGAGGAAACAGCUCCAGUGGAAACUUUCUCAUUCUAAAGAAGCUGGUCAAAAGUGCACCCAGCCCUCAGUGAUAACAAAGGUAUGAUAA